GUGUCUAAAUGCUGUGCUGGCUUGAGAAAGAGUCUGUGCACGAGUCAGUCUGUCUUAAAAUACUGCCGUAAAUAUUGUCAUUGGUUCGGUUCUACAGUUGUGUUCUCUUCUUCAUCUCUCUUGGGCUUCCCCUUCUCCUCGUCCUCUUCCCUGAUGGCCUGAAUUUGUUCUGAAGAUGGGUGCAGUGUGGAUUGCUCCGCGCCUUGCUUCUCUGUCCCAGCUAACCUCUCCUCAUCCUCGAUUACUUUCUUCCACAUUUUAUGGUUCUGAAGCAGGUGCUGAGUGAUCUGACAGUAGAUUUUCCUCCUCUUGAACUUCUUCUUUCUGGAUUCAGCAUUUUCACAAGUUUCCAUCUCUGCUGUUUCUUCCUCUUCAUGCUCAUCAGUGUCUCCUGAUUCAUCACUAUCUUCUAUCCAUUUUCCUGGCAUCAACCCUGCUGAGUCAUAGGAGUUACAUAGUGG
RNAcentral lists this long non-coding RNA (461 nucleotides) under Gallus gallus (chicken). The record is from RNAcentral. Lineage: Eukaryota; Metazoa; Chordata; Aves; Galliformes; Phasianidae.